Molecule: ribosomal RNA, 254 nt
Filed under: uncultured bacterium
Lineage: Bacteria
Description: partial 16S ribosomal RNA
Rfam family: Bacterial small subunit ribosomal RNA
Source: RNAcentral
CACGUAGGGAGCAAGCGUUGUCCGGAUUCAUUGGGCGUAAAGAGCUCGUAGGCGGCUCGGUAAGUCGGGUGUGAAACCUCUGGGCUCAACCCAGAGACGCCACCCGAUACUGCCAUGGCUAGAGUCCAGCAGGGGAGCGUGGAAUUCCCGGUGUAGCGGUGAAAUGCGCAGAUAUCGGGAGGAACACCAGCGGCGAAGGCGGCGCUCUGGGCUGGAACUGACGCUGAGGAGCGAAAGCGUGGGUAGCGAACAGG